Molecule: ribosomal RNA, 429 nt
Filed under: uncultured bacterium
Lineage: Bacteria
Description: bacterial SSU rRNA
Rfam family: Bacterial small subunit ribosomal RNA
Source: RNAcentral
AUUGAACGCUGGCGGCAUGCCUUACACAUGCAAGUCGAACGGCAGCACGGGAGCAAUCCUGGUGGCGAGUGGCGAACGGGUGAGUAAUAUAUCGGAACGUGCCCAGUCGUGGGGAUAACGUAGCGAAAGCUACGCUAAUACCGCAUACGAUCUAAGGAUGAAAGCGGGGGAUCGCAAGACCUCGCGCGAUUGGAGCGGCCGAUAUCAGAUUAGCUAGUUGGUGAGGUAAAGGCUCACCAAGGCGACGAUCUGUAGCUGGUCUGAGAGGACGACCAGCCACACUGGGACUGAGACACGGCCCAGACUCCUACGGGAGCAGCAGUGGGGAAUUUUGGACAAUGGGCGCAAGCCUGAUCCAGCAAUGCCGCGUGCAGGAUGAAGGCCUGGUUGUAACUAGUCGUUUCGUUACGGUAACGGUAAACGGUAGGA